Molecule: RNase P RNA, 355 nt
Filed under: Actinomycetes bacterium
Lineage: Bacteria; Bacillati; Actinomycetota; Actinomycetes
Description: Actinobacteria bacterium RNase P RNA component class A
Rfam family: Bacterial RNase P class A
About the family: Ribonuclease P (RNase P) is a ubiquitous endoribonuclease, found in archaea, bacteria and eukarya as well as chloroplasts and mitochondria.
Source: RNAcentral
AGAGCAGGCCGGGCGACCGCGGCACGGGUGACCGUGUCGAGGAAAGUCGGGACUCCGUAGGGCAGCGCGGUGGGUAACGCCCACCCGGGGCAACCCGGGGAAAGCGCCACAGAAAACAGACCGCCUGCAGCGAUGCAGGUAAGGGUGAAACGGUGAGGUAAGAGCUCACCAGCGCGGCGGGUGACCGUCGCGGCUCGGCAAGCCCCGCGCGGAGCAAGGCCAAGCAGGGAGCGAGUAGCCCGCUCGAUGCUCCCGGGUCGGCUGCACGAGGUCGCCGGUAACGGCGAUCCCAGAGGGAUGGUCGCCCCUCCGCUUCGGCGGAGGACAGGAUCCCGCUUAUAGGCCCGCUCUUCAU